Pogoniulus pusillus (Red-fronted tinkerbird) is the source of this 3648-nucleotide RNA transcript. It is a transcript of the gene named glycerol-3-phosphate dehydrogenase 2, with no coding region annotated. The record is from RefSeq and is a predicted model, not a curated record. The transcript has 18 exons. NCBI's taxonomy places the organism in Eukaryota, Metazoa, Chordata, Aves, Piciformes, Lybiidae.
UGGCUGCUGGAGGCGUGCCGCGGGCGGAGGAGGAGGCGCGGAGGCAGCCGGCCGCUUCUACCCCCCCCAUCCCCACGCUUCAGCCGCCGGCCGGCAAGCGGAGCGCAGCGGUGACGCGGGCUGGCCCGGGCUGCUUUUUGCCAAGAUGGCAUUUCAGAAGGCAGCGAAAGGAGCGGCUCUGAUUGGCGGAGGUGCCAUAGCAACAGUUUUUGGCCUCUCUCAGUUCUCUCAGUAUAGCAACCAACACGGUACCUUUGUGCAGGUGCAGGCUGCAGAAGGUGCAGCAGCUCCACUAAAGGACCACUUCCCCACAAGAGAGCAGCAGAUUGCAAGGCUGAAGACCACAAGCGAAUUUGAUGUCCUUGUUAUAGGUGGAGGAGCCACAGGAUGUGGCUGCGCUUUAGAUGCUGUCACUAGAGGACUAAAAACAGCCCUUCUAGAAAGAGAUGAUUUCUCAUCAGGGACCAGCAGCAGGAGUACUAAAUUGAUCCAUGGUGGAGUGAGGUAUCUUCAGAAGGCCAUCAUGAACUUGGAUCUUGAGCAGUACAGGAUGGUGAAGGAAGCACUGGAGGAGCGUGCAAACCUGCUGGAAAUUGCUCCUCACCUCUCAGCUCCUCUGCCAAUAAUGCUCCCCGUGUACAAGUGGUGGCAGCUUCCCUACUACUGGUUUGGAAUAAAACUCUAUGACCUGGUGGCAGGAAGCCAGUGCCUGAAAAGUAGUUAUGUCCUCAGCAAGUCCAGAGCCUUGGAGCUCUUCCCAAUGCUACGCAAAGAUGAUCUGGUUGGAGCUAUUGUCUACUAUGAUGGACAGCACAACGACGCGCGGAUGAACCUCGCCAUCGCCCUGACCGCUGCCAGGUACGGCGCUGCCACGGCCAAUUACGCUGAAGUGCUGCGCCUGCUGAAGAGCAGGGACCCGGCCAGCGGCACGGAGCGCGUCUGCGGGGUGCGCUGCAGGGACGUCCUCACAGGGCAGGAGUUUGAUGUCAAAGCCAAGUGUGUUAUCAAUGCUACGGGCCCCUUCACAGACUCGGUGCGCAAAAUGGAUGAUCAGGAGGUGCCCAACAUCUGCCAGCCCAGCGCCGGUGUGCACAUAGUGAUGCCUGGGUACUACAGCCCUGAUAACAUGGGUCUGCUGGAUCCAGCCACCAGUGAUGGUCGAGUGAUUUUCUUCUUGCCCUGGGAGAAGAUGACUAUUGCAGGGACCACAGACAGCCCAACUGAUGUCACCUCUCAUCCCAUCCCAACAGAGGAAGACAUCAACUUCAUUCUGAACGAAGUGCGAAACUACCUUAGCGUGGAUGUUGAAGUGAGAAGGGGAGAUGUGUUGGCAGCAUGGAGUGGCAUUCGUCCUCUGGUGACAGACCCCAGCUCCAAGGACACCCAGUCCAUCUCCCGGAACCACGUCGUUACCAUCAGCCAGAGCGGCCUGGUCACCAUCGCAGGUGGGAAGUGGACAACCUACCGUGCCAUGGCCCAGGACGCCGUCGAUGCAGCCAUUCGGGCACACGGUCUGAAGGCAGGCUCCAGUAAGACCAUUGGACUGCAGCUUCGAGGGGCUGAGGACUGGAGUCCCACUCUCUACAUUAGGUUGGUCCAAGACUAUGGACUUGAAAGUGAGGUGGCUCAGCAUCUGGCUUCAACAUAUGGUGACAAGGCUUUUGAGGUGGCCAAGAUAGCCCAGGUGACAGGAAAGAGAUGGCCCAUCGUGGGGAAACGGCUCGUGUCGGAGUUUCCUUACAUUGAAGCUGAGGUGGUGUAUGGUGUGAAGGAGUACGCCCGCACCGCCGUGGACAUCAUCUCUCGCCGCACUCGCCUGGCCUUCCUCAACGUGCAGGCUGCAGAGGAGGCUCUGCCAAGAAUCGUGGAGAUAAUGGGGAAGGAACUUAACUGGAAUGAGCAGAAAAAAAAGGAAGAGCUUGAAGCUGCUAAAAGAUUUCUCUAUUUUGAAAUGGGCUACAAAGUGAAAUCAGAUCAAUUAACAGACAGCUCUGAAAUCAGCCUCCUGCCUUCAGAUAUUGAAAGGUACAAGAAGCGAUUCCACAUGUUUGACAAGGAGAAGAAGGGCUUCAUUACCAUCCUGGAUGUGCAGCGUGUCCUGGAGAGCAUCAGUGUGCAGAUUGCUGAGAACACUCUUCAUGACAUCCUCAACGAGGUGGAUCUGAACAAAAAUGGACAGGUGGAGCUCAAUGAGUUCUUGCAGCUGAUGAGUGCCAUCCAGAAGGGACACGUCUCGGGCAGCCGUCUGGCUGUGCUGAUGAAGACGGCGGAGGAGAACCUCCGGCAGCGGGCGGUCAUCCCGGUGGACCGCAGUGGUGGGGGACUGUGAAGUUCAACCACCUCCACACCUGCUGUGAAGUUCAACCCCCCACCAGGUCAGCUGUGAGUCCAGCCACCACCAUGUCUGCUCACAGCCACAAACAUUCCACUUCUCCUGACUCUCCUGGCUUGUCCCAGAUAAGUGGUGUCCAUCCGUCGGCAUGGCUCCCGUGACGGCAUGCUGGGUGCCUUUUGUUCUCCUUGUCAGUGGUUUUCUGUGCAGCUCUUACUGCUCCAGCAUGUGGCCUUUUGGAUUGGGUGCUCUCUAGACACUGGGGUCAGCUAACAAGAGUUUGGGGGCACAGCCCAGAAGGACUUGGGGGCACACACAAGGACCACGCUGCCUUCUUCGUCAGCUGUUCUAUCACCCUUAACAAAUGCGAUGCUCAGAAGUGAGUCCUGCCUUGAGGUGUCUUCUGGUUUUGCCAAGCUCUGUUUAGUGUUUCAGAGCUGCUGGUUUGUCCCCUUCAAUGAAGAGAAGGAAAGUUGACUUGCAGGGUUGGAGGUGGCAUCAGGACAGGAACAAACCUGAUGUCUCCCGAGGCAGUGAUUGCAGAUCGGAGUUGUCCUCAGCCUUCCAGAGGUGAUUUUUGGGUUUGCUCUGUUGACUGCUCUCUUAUUUUUGUGGCACCAAAUUCAGCAGCAGCAUGAAGCUGGAAGAGGACAGGACAUCUUGAUUUAUCACUUCAGCUAAUUAACCAAGAGCCAGAGGAAAGCUGCUUCUACUCCUAGAUGAAUCAAGCCAAGCUUCCUUUACUAAACAGCAUUGGCUAGUGGUGGGGGUUUAUGCUGUCCAACUCCACCCUGCUUCCAGCUGGGAGAUGUGGGAUGUGGGCAGGUUUUGAUGGCAGAAAGCCUUAAUUUAGUUCAAAAUGCUCAGCCAGGCAAGGAAAACAUGAAGGAUGUUUUCUCCAUUCCACUCUCUUUCCCAGAAGGGCUCUUUUUCAGCAGAUCAGUGAAAAAAAGAAUGAUGAGGACUUUAGGACCACUCACUUGAGAUAUUCUCAACAGCAUUGUGCCAUCUUUGCCAUCCUGCUGCAGUUUGGAGAUCACCAGGAAGGAUUCUACCCAGAAAUAUGCACCUUGAGAAGGAUCUGGUGAUGACUUUGUUGGUCUGUUCAGUAGAAAUCCCAAUUUAUAACCCAAAAGAAGCUUCAGUUCCAAGGAGCCACAUUUUCCACCUGCAGAAGCUUGUCCACCACAGAGGUGUUUCAAAGCAAAACAUACACUAUGCCAGCAUGGCCCCAAGAAUCAUCUCUGCUCCAAAAGAAUUCCUUGAAGAAUUCCUUCCCUCCAAGCCCAGCACUGCCAAAAUGAUAUUUUAAACUU